RNAcentral lists this transfer RNA (72 nucleotides) under Ordospora colligata. Its description in RNAcentral is "tRNA-Gly". It matches the Rfam family "tRNA". From Rfam's summary of the family: Transfer RNA (tRNA) molecules are approximately 80 nucleotides in length. The record is from RNAcentral. RNAcentral also lists the same sequence under 1 other name. Lineage: Eukaryota; Fungi; Microsporidia; Ordosporidae.
GCAUUGAUAGUAUAGUGGUUAUUAUGUGAGCUUCCCAAGUUCAUGGCCUGGGUUCGAUUCCCGGUCAAUGCA